This 869-nucleotide ribosomal RNA is filed under the name uncultured Bacteroidota bacterium. RNAcentral's name for it is "bacterial SSU rRNA". It matches the Rfam family "Bacterial small subunit ribosomal RNA", at positions 111 to 982 of the family's 1533-position model. Lineage: Bacteria; Pseudomonadati; Bacteroidota. The record is from RNAcentral.
UAACGCGUAUGCAAUCUACCUUUUACAGAGGAAUAGCCCAGAGAAAUUUGGAUUAAUACCUCAUAGUAUGUGAGAAUCGCAUGGUUUUCACAUUAAAGUUCCAACGGUAAAAGAUGAGCAUGCGUCCCAUUAGCUAGAUGGUAAGGUAACGGCUUACCAUGGCGACGAUGGGUAGGGGUCCUGAGAGGGAGAUCCCCCACACUGGUACUGAGACACGGACCAGACUCCUACGGGAGGCAGCAGUGAGGAAUAUUGGACAAUGGGCGCAAGCCUGAUCCAGCCAUGCCGCGUGCAGGAUGACGGUCCUAUGGAUUGUAAACUGCUUUUGUACAGGAAGAAACACUCCCUCGUGAGGGAGCUUGACGGUACUGUAAGAAUAAGGACCGGCUAACUCCGUGCCAGCAGCCGCGGUAAUACGGAGGAUCCAAGCGUUAUCCGGAAUCAUUGGGUUUAAAGGGUCCGUAGGCGGUUUAAUAAGUCAGUGGUGAAAGCCCAUCGCUCAACGGUGGAACGGCCAUUGAUACUGUUAAACUUGAAUUAUUAGGAAGUAACUAGAAUAUGUAGUGUAGCGGUGAAAUGCUUAGAGAUUACAUGGAAUACCAACUGCGAAGGCAGGUUACUACUAAUGGAUUGACGCUGAUGGACGAAAGCGUGGGUAGCGAACAGGAUUAGAUACCCUGGUAGUCCACGCCGUAAACGAUGGAUACUAGCUGUUGGGAGCAAUCUCAGUGGCUAAGCGAAAGUGAUAAGUAUCCCACCUGGGGAGUACGUUCGCAAGAAUGAAACUCAAAGGAAUUGACGGGGGCCCGCACAAGCGGUGGAGCAUGUGGUUUAAUUCGAUGAUACGCCGAGGAACCUUACCAAGGCUU